ACGGGCUGGAACCUCUCGGGGUUACAGCCUUGCUGAAUUAUUCACCCUUGUCUUUUGCGUACUUCUUGUUUCCUUGGUGGGUUCGCCCACCACUAGGACAAACAUAAACCUUUUGUAAUUGCAAUCAGCGUCAGUAACAAAUUAAUAAUUACAACUUUCAACAACGGAUCUCUUGGUUCUGGCAUCGAUGAAGAACGCAGCGAAAUGCGAUAAGUAGUGUGAAUUGCAGAAUUCAGUGAAUCAUCGAAUCUUUGAACGCACAUUGCGCCCUUUGGUAUUCCAAAGGGCAUGCCUGUUCGAGCGUCAUUUGUACCCUCAAGCUUUGCUUGGUGUUGGGCGUCUUGUCUCUAGCUUUGCUGGAGACUCGCCUUAAAGUAAUUGGCAGCCGGCCUACUGGUUUCGGAGCGCAGCACAAGUCGCACUCUCUAUCAGCAAAGGUCUAGCAUCCAUUAAGCCUUUUUUUCAACUUUUGACCUCGGAUCAGGUAGGGAUACCCGCUGAACUUAAGCAUAUAAA
RNAcentral lists this ribosomal RNA (516 nucleotides) under fungal sp. GQGC11. RNAcentral describes it as "eukaryotic LSU rRNA". The stretch from base 153 to 306 matches the Rfam family "5.8S ribosomal RNA". The record is from RNAcentral. Lineage: Eukaryota; Fungi.